This 253-nucleotide ribosomal RNA is filed under the name uncultured bacterium. RNAcentral's name for it is "partial 16S ribosomal RNA". It matches the Rfam family "Bacterial small subunit ribosomal RNA", at positions 524 to 776 of the family's 1533-position model. The record is from RNAcentral.
GACGUAGGGCGCGAGCGUUGUCCGGAUUUAUUGGGCGUAAAGAGCUCGUAGGUGGUUUGUCGCGUUGUCCGUGAAAACUCACAACUCAAUUGUGGGCGUGCGGGCGAUACGGGCAGACUGGAGUACUGCAGGGGAGACUGGAAUUCCUGGUGUAGCGGUGGAAUGCGCAGAUAUCAGGAGGAACACCGGUGGCGAAGGCGGGCCUCUGGGCCGAUACUGACGCUGAGGAGCGAAAGCGUGGGGAGCGAACAGG